Molecule: ribosomal RNA, 490 nt
Filed under: uncultured bacterium
Lineage: Bacteria
Description: partial 16S ribosomal RNA
Rfam family: Bacterial small subunit ribosomal RNA
Source: RNAcentral
AUUGAACGCUGGCGGCAGGCCUAACACAUGCAAGUCGAACGGUAACAGGAAGAAGCUUGCUUCUUUGCUGACGAGUGGCGGACGGGUGAGUAAUGUCUGGGAAACUGCCUGAUGGAGGGGGAUAACUACUGGAAACGGUAGCUAAUACCGCAUAACGUCGCAAGACCAAAGAGGGGGACCUUCGGGCCUCUUGCCAUCGGAUGUGCCCAGAUGGGAUUAGCUAGUAGGUGGGGUAUCGGCUCACCUAGGCGACGAUCCCUAGCUGGUCUGAGAGGAUGACCAGACACACUGGAACUGAGACACGGUCCAGACUCCUACGGGAGGCAGCAGUGGGGAAUAUUGCACAAUGGGCGCAAGCCUGAUGCAGCCAUGCCGCGUGUAUGAAGAAGGCCUUCGGGUUGUAAAGUACUUUCAGCGGGGAGGAAGGGAGUAAAGUUAAUACCUUUGCUCAUUGACGUUACCCGCAGAAGAAGCACCGGCUAACUCCGUG